CUAAAAUCACAAAAUUCUUCUGGCACUCUUCCGCCGCAGCUUGCAAGGUUGCCUUACCUACAAGAAAUUGAUCUCACCUUCAACUACCUUAACGGCACAAUUCCAAAGCAAUGGAGUUCCUUGAAUCUUGUCAACAUUUCUCUUUAUGGAAAUCGUGUAACAGGUUCAAUCCCA
Molecule: non-coding RNA, 174 nt
Organism: Arachis ipaensis
Lineage: Eukaryota; Viridiplantae; Streptophyta; Magnoliopsida; Fabales; Fabaceae
Source: RefSeq, a predicted model, not a curated record